This is a long non-coding RNA of Sebastes umbrosus (honeycomb rockfish), 180 nucleotides long. RefSeq lists it as uncharacterized. NCBI's taxonomy places the organism in Eukaryota, Metazoa, Chordata, Actinopteri, Perciformes, Sebastidae. The record is from RefSeq and is a predicted model, not a curated record. The transcript has 3 exons.
UCACUAGUCUGCCCGUGUCAGAGGCUUUUUGGCGGAGCCAGUCUGUGAGAGAAAUCUCUCUGAUCGGCUAUUCAGCUUAAACGAAUCAGUGCACGAGAAGAGAAACGGAAGUCAGGAAAGCAAGCCAACGAGUAAAGUCAAGAAGGAAAACACAGAUGGCUCUUGUCAUUUUUCAUCUUC